This 504-nucleotide ribosomal RNA is filed under the name Escherichia coli. Its description in RNAcentral is "bacterial SSU rRNA". It matches the Rfam family "Bacterial small subunit ribosomal RNA", at positions 1022 to 1526 of the family's 1533-position model. The record is from RNAcentral. Lineage: Bacteria; Pseudomonadati; Pseudomonadota; Gammaproteobacteria; Enterobacterales; Enterobacteriaceae.
GGGAACUGUGAGACAGGUGCUGCAUGGCUGUCGUCAGCUCGUGUUGUGAAAUGUUGGGUUAAGUCCCGCAACGAGCGCAACCCUUAUCCUUUGUUGCCAGCGGUCCGGCCGGGAACUCAAAGGAGACUGCCAGUGAUAAACUGGAGGAAGGUGGGGAUGACGUCAAGUCAUCAUGGCCCUUACGACCAGGGCUACACACGUGCUACAAUGGCGCAUACAAAGAGAAGCGACCUCGCGAGAGCAAGCGGACCUCAUAAAGUGCGUCGUAGUCCGGAUUGGAGUCUGCAACUCGACUCCAUGAAGUCGGAAUCGCUAGUAAUCGUGGAUCAGAAUGCCACGGUGAAUACGUUCCCGGGCCUUGUACACACCGCCCGUCACACCAUGGGAGUGGGUUGCAAAAGAAGUAGGUAGCUUAACCUUCGGGAGGGCGCUUACCACUUUGUGAUUCAUGACUGGGGUGAAGUCGUAACAAGGUAACCGUAGGGGAACCUGCGGUUGGAUCAC